GACGAACGCUGGCGGCGUGCUUAACACAUGCAAGUCGAACGGUGAAGCCCAGCUUGCUGGGUGGAUCAGUGGCGAACGGGUGAGUAACACGUGAGUAACCUGCCCCUGACUUUGGGAUAACUCCGGGAAACCGGGGCUAAUACCGGAUAUGAGCUCUUGCUGCAUGGUGAGGGUUGGAAAGAUUUAUCGGUUGGGGAUGGGCUCGCGGCCUAUCAGCUUGUUGGUGGGGUGAUGGCCUACCAAGGCGACGACGGGUAGCCGGCCUGAGAGGGCGACCGGCCACACUGGGACUGAGACACGGCCCAGACUCCUACGGGAGGCAGCAGUGGGGAAUAUUGCACAAUGGGCGCAAGCCUGAUGCAGCGACGCCGCGUGAGGGAUGACGGCCUUCGGGUUGUAAACCUCUUUCAGCAGGGAAGAAGCGCAAGUGACGGUACCUGCAGAAGAAGCGCCGGCUAACUACGUGCCAGCAGCCGCCGUAACAC
Molecule: ribosomal RNA, 485 nt
Filed under: uncultured bacterium
Lineage: Bacteria
Description: bacterial SSU rRNA
Rfam family: Bacterial small subunit ribosomal RNA
Source: RNAcentral